RNAcentral lists this ribosomal RNA (253 nucleotides) under uncultured bacterium. RNAcentral describes it as "partial 16S ribosomal RNA". It matches the Rfam family "Bacterial small subunit ribosomal RNA", at positions 524 to 776 of the family's 1533-position model. The record is from RNAcentral.
UACGUAUGGAGCAAGCGUUAUCCGGAUUUACUGGGUGUAAAGGGAGCGCAGGCGGUCUGGCAAGUCUGAUGUGAAAGGCCGAGGCUCAACCCCGGGACUGCAUUGGAAACUGUCAGACUGGAGUGUCGGAGAGGUAAGCGGAAUUCCUAGUGUAGCGGUGAAAUGCGUAGAUAUUAGGAGGAACACCAGUGGCGAAGGCGGCUUACUGGACGAUGACUGACGCUGAGGCUCGAAAGCGUGGGGAGCAAACAGG